Molecule: ribosomal RNA, 501 nt
Filed under: uncultured bacterium
Lineage: Bacteria
Description: bacterial SSU rRNA
Rfam family: Bacterial small subunit ribosomal RNA
Source: RNAcentral
AGAGUUUGAUCCUGGCUCAGGACGAACGCUGGCGGCGUGCUUAACACAUGCAAGUCGAACGGUAAGGCCCUUCGGGGUACACGAGUGGCGAACGGGUGAGUAACACGUGAGUAACCUGCCCCUGACUCUGGAAUAAGCAUUCGAAAGGAUGUCUAAUACCGGAUAUUCUCCUUCACUGGCAUCGGUGGGGGUGGAAAGUUUUUCGGUUGGGGAUGGGCUCGCGGUCUAUCAGCUUGUUGGUGGGGUAAUGGCUCACCAAGGCUUCGACGGGUAGCCGGCCUGAGAGGGCGACCGGCCACACUGGGACUGAGAUACGGCCCAGACUCCUACGGGAGGCAGCAGUGGGGAAUAUUGCACAAUGGGCGGAAGCCUGAUGCAGCAACGCCGCGUGCGGGAUGACGGCCUUCGGGUUGUAAACCGCUUUCGGCAGGGAAGAAGCGAAAGUGACGGUACCUGCAGAAGAAGUACCGGCUAACUACGUGCCAGCCGCCGCGGUAAUAC